CAAGUCGAGGGGUAACAGGUGAGCUUGCUCCCGCUGACGACCGGCGAAUGGGUGAGUAACGCGUAUCCAACCUGCCUCAUGCCCGUGGACAGCGGUUAGAAGUGAGGAUUAAUACACGAUAUGUAAGCCAGCCGCAUGACGGGCUUAUGAAACAGACAUGAGAUGGGGAUGCGUUGGAUUAGCUUGUUGGCGGGGUAACGGCCCACCAAGGCAUCGAUCCAUAGGGGUUCUGAGAGGAAGGUCCCCCACACUGGUACUGAGACACGGACCAGACUCCUACGGGAGGCAGCAGUGAGGAAUAUUGGUCAAUGGGCGAGAGCCUGAACCAGCCAAGUAGCGUGAAGGAUGACGGCCCUACGGGUUGUAAACUUCUUUUGCCGGGGGAUAAAAAACGGGACGUGUCCCGUCUUGCAGGUACCCGUGCGAAUAAGGACCGGCUAAUUCCGUGCCAGCAGCCGCGGUAAUACGGAAGGUCCGGGCGUUAUCCGGAUUUAUUGGGUUUAAAGGGAGCGUAGGCCGUGUUUUAAGCGUGUUGUGAAAUGUAGGCGCCCAACGUCUGCACUGCAGCGCGAACUGGAGCACUUGAGUACGCAGGAAGUAGGCGGAAUUCGUCGUGUAGCGGUGAAAUGCUUAGAUAUGACGAAGAACUCCGAUUGCGAAGGCAGCUUACUGUAGCGCCACUGACGCUGAUGCUCGAAAGCGUGGGUAUCGAACAGGAUUAGAUACCCUGGUAGUCCACGCGGUAAACGAUGGAUGCUCGCUGUAUGCCAUUAUGGUAUGUGGCCAAGGGAAACCAUUAAGCAUCCCACCUGGGGAGUACGCCGGCAACGGUGAAACUCAAAGGAAUUGACGGGGGCCCGCACAAGCGGAGGAACAUGUGGUUUAAUUCGAUGAUACGCGAGGAACCUUACCCGGGCUUGAACUGCCAGUGAACGAUUCAGAGAUGAAGAGGUCCUUCGGGACGCUGGUGGAGGUGCUGCAUGGUUGUCGUCAGCUCGUGCCGUGAGGUGUCGGCUUAAGUGCCAUAACGAGCGCAACCCCUUUCAUUAGUUGCCAUCAGGUCAAGCUGGGCACUCUGGUGAUACUGCCACCGUAAGGUGUGAGGAAGGUGGGGAUGACGUCAAAUCAGCACGGCCCUUACGUCCGGGGCUACACACGUGUUACAAUGGUGCAUACAGAGAGUCGGCUCUGCGCAAGUAGAGUCCAAUCAAGAAAGUGCAUCGUAGUUCGGACUGGGGUCUGCAACCCGACCCCACGAAGCUGGAUUCGCUAGUAAUCGCGCAUCAGCCAUGGCGCGGUGAUACGUUCCCGGGCAUUUACACACCGCCCGUACANGGCGCUUCGCGCCGAAACUUCAGACAAAAUCUGG
Molecule: ribosomal RNA, 1369 nt
Filed under: uncultured Prevotellaceae bacterium
Lineage: Bacteria; Pseudomonadati; Bacteroidota; Bacteroidia; Bacteroidales; Prevotellaceae
Description: bacterial SSU rRNA
Rfam family: Bacterial small subunit ribosomal RNA
Source: RNAcentral